This is a long non-coding RNA of Penaeus indicus, 569 nucleotides long. RefSeq lists it as uncharacterized. Lineage: Eukaryota; Metazoa; Arthropoda; Malacostraca; Decapoda; Penaeidae. The record is from RefSeq and is a predicted model, not a curated record. The transcript is spliced from 5 exons.
UUACCCGUGGGGCGUGAGAAGGUCUUGUGCUGUCUGUCUGCGUGCCGAGAGCGCGGUGGGCGUGUCCGGGGUUACCCCAUGUGAUUCGUUGCUGCUUCGGAUCUUGUGAAUUUUUUUUGUGUUGGUUUUGUUUCAUUGUUUCGGAUUUUUUAUUUUUCCGGGGUUUUCCGCGGCGACGGCGAGCGAGCAAAGGAAAAGGGUGUGACAGCUGACCCCUCCCCCCCUACCUGUGACACCCUACAGAAGACAGAUGACAUGAACUUGCCUGUGCUGCUGUAACACGCACGUGAGGUCGCCCCACCCCCCCCCUCCUUCGAACCCUCUCCCUCUCCCCCACUCUUGCCCCUCCCUCCCCCCCUUCCCACCUCUUUUCCUUUGCAACUCCCUCCUCCCCUCCCCCCUCGCCCCUCCCCCCUCCAACGGCGAUUGGUGGGCGUCGAGGCAGAGUCGUGGGCGUGACGUGGGCGUGAUGACGAGGCAGCGGCCGGCCGGGUGGUGGGCGGAGGCGGUGCUCUUGGCGGCGGUGGCGCUGGUGAGCGUGUCCGUGACCACGCCCCUCGCCGCGGCUG